UUCAGAGGCUGGGGCUUUAACCAGGCAUCAAGACUUGGAUCGCAAGUAGUUUCUGCAGGCUCCUUCUUGACAGUCUUCUAGAAAGGAGAAGAGGGAAAAGAAGCAGUUCCUGAUGCACAUGAACAACUGCUCCCAGGUAACCAGCUCCCUGCACCCUUUUCUAUCUGUUAACUAAUUUCUCAAAAAUUUCUGAAUCCCCCUCCUCCUCAUUACUAAGAGAGUGCAUGCACAAAAGCCCAUACAUGCAUUUAGAACACAGUAUGGGGGCUAGUUACCCUGCCCCUCCUGUCCAAAGCCUUAGUCCUUUGAAGGAAGAUGGCCGAAAGAGAGGAACUCCAAGUCACUUCUCAAAGAAAUGCUGGCUUAAACAUCAUCCUUGUCUAAUGAAGAAAACAAAGAAUUUCAUGUAUCUUGUGGAACACCUUCAGGUCAAAGUACCAGCAGAGUGAAGAAAGAAACUGCUAGAAGCCACAAAGCAAUACGCUUUUUAGUCAUCAAUGAAGAGCCCAAGGGAGGUUGAUGGAGAGGGAGACUGGGUUGAGGCUCAGUGUAUAAUAAUCUCUUGCCUAAUGUGUAUGCAUUAUUAUUAUGUUGUAUUAACAAUCAUAAUAGCUCACAUUUACUUAUCUGCUAAAAUCUGGUGUCUUGCAUGCAAUACAACCCUCAAAACAACCCUAUCAGUUGAGUAAUAUCCCUAUUUUAGAGCUUAGGAAACAGCUCACAAAAGCUCAGUAAUUUGUUCAAGAUCACAUAGCUAGUAAAUGGCAUAGCUGGGAUUGUGAACUCAAGAUAUCUCCAGAGGUUCUGUGCAUAACCAUUUGAUUAUAGUUCUUCCUUUAAAAACAAAACUGACAACUUUGCCAUAUAUAGUCUCUUAUUAGGAAAAGACCACAGUUUCUAACUGCUCUGCCUUCCUAUCCUCCCAGUCUCCUGAACUGGCAUAGAGAAGGCAAAGCACUGAGGGGUCCCAAGUUCCAUCCAGGAGCUUGCUGCUGUCUCCUGUACCAGUGUCCCAGCUCUGCAGAAUCAGCAAGGGACCAUCCUGCCUGCCUGCUAGAGAACUUGGGAGCCCACCUGAACUCCAGCUUUUCCAUACAUUGGGAUUCUCUCCUGGCCCUAACCAACUCUCUACACGUGUUGGUGUGUCAUGCCCCUUUCCACUCCCCCGAAUAGUUUUGAACUGACCAAUCCCUAAAGUUUCCACUAGAAAGUAUCCCUGACUAGGACAAUUGCUGAAUGGUCUGUGCUUGGACCCUCUCUGCAAGCCCUGGUAUUACUGAGUAGAUAAAUGUAAACUGGUUGGAGAUGGAAUGAAGAAUAAUCCAUUUUUCCCUGAGCUUUCUCAGUAAGAAGUACCAUGGCUCACCCACCCCCCAUUCUCAGCUUUAUGGAGCCAACACAUGAAUCUUCUAGUGUUCCCAUAUAGAGCUGCCCCAGGGCCUGGGAGUAAACUGACAGUCUAAUCUGAUAUGGGAAACACUAGGAGUUUGGUGGAAUCUCUAGGAAGGUAUGUGUUAGGCAUUGGGAUAGGGACUUUCCCCUAAAGGCUGAUGACUAUAUGAACAGGAGCAAUUUGGUGUAUAACAUGUCAGCCACAGAUGAGGAAGUGUUAUAUAAGAAAAAAACAUUACGCUGGUCAGGGGCUUGGGUCCUUGAAGCAACACAGCUGGACCACUUUGCCUGUUUCUCCUGUCCAGAUCUUAGAUAUCUUCCUACACUUAGCUGUCUGAUAGCCUUUCUUGUUCUUUUGUUUCUCUUUAUGAAUGUAGCGCAUCAUUUAUUGUCACAAUAAGCCAUAACUUCUGAACUCUCCAAUCUAACUCCCACAUUUUCUUGCUUCUAACACCUGUGUUUCUCUGGAGCUUCUCUGGAUCCUUGCAAUCCAAAGGUCAUAGAAUCAGAGACCAGGAAAAACUUGUCUUUAGAGAUCACUGGGUCCAUGCUCCACUACAGAUGAGGACACAGGUCCAGAGAUGAGAAGUGACUUCAGCAGGGUCAGAGAAUUUGUUAGUGCAGCUCAAGAUGGGUCUUACCCUCAACCCUUCUGCACACAUGCCAUUCCUGGGCUAUAAAACAGGCCUCUACAUAGUCAGAUCUGCGAUUUUUCAUGGCAAGGGAUAAUAUCAGAAAUGUUUCAUUUUCUCCUGCUAGUUUCCAUUCCCUUCCCCAUCCAGGCAUGAAAAGAAACAAAAGGCACUUGUAGUUUUCUUUGUUUUCCCAGCCUUGGCACUUCUUUGGGUGAUAUUGCUGAGGAACAGUGAAGUUGCUAAAAACAUGGUAUAAUCCACCCAUUGACUAACCUGGAGAGGAAAUUAAAGUUUGCUUUGUGAAUUCCCCCAAACCACUGUUCUCAUCAGGCCCUCCCAGAGCAUCCUCAUACCGUUCACAGUGUAGCCAUGUUCACUGGGCCCCAAACCCACUAGUUCUGUGCCUCACUUCAGCUUCCACAUGCAACUACCCUUCCUUCUGGAUAAAAGACCUCAUAUGUGAAAUAAAGUCAAAAUAUGAAAGU
Molecule: long non-coding RNA, 2512 nt
Organism: Lynx canadensis (Canada lynx)
Lineage: Eukaryota; Metazoa; Chordata; Mammalia; Carnivora; Felidae
Exons: 2
Source: RefSeq, a predicted model, not a curated record